RNAcentral lists this ribosomal RNA (472 nucleotides) under uncultured soil bacterium. RNAcentral's name for it is "bacterial SSU rRNA". It matches the Rfam family "Bacterial small subunit ribosomal RNA", at positions 26 to 518 of the family's 1533-position model. The record is from RNAcentral.
AGGAUGAACGCUGGCGGCGUGCUUAACACAUGCAAGUCGAACGAUGAAGCAGAGCUUGCUCUGUGGAUUAGUGGCGAACGGGUGAGUAACACGUGAGUAACCUGCCCUUGACUCUGGAAUAAGCGUUGGAAACGACGUCUAAUACCGGAUACGAGCUUCCGCCGCAUGGUGAGGAGCUGGAAAGAAUUUCGGUCAAGGAUGGACUCGCGGCCUAUCAGGUAGUUGGUGAGGUAAUGGCUCACCAAGCCUACGACGGGUAGCCGGCCUGAGAGGGUGACCGGCCACACUGGAACUGAGACACGGUCCAGACUCCUACGGGAGCAGCAGUGGGAAUAUUGCACAAUGGGCGCAAGCCUGAUGCAGCAACGCCGCGUGAGGACGACGGCCUUCGGUUGUAAACCUCUUUCAGCGAGGACGAAGCGCAAGUGACGUACUGCAGAAGAGCACCGCUAACGUACGUGCCAGCAGCCGA